Molecule: ribosomal RNA, 253 nt
Filed under: uncultured bacterium
Lineage: Bacteria
Description: partial 16S ribosomal RNA
Rfam family: Bacterial small subunit ribosomal RNA
Source: RNAcentral
UACGUAGGUGGCUAGCGUUGUCCGGAUUUACUGGGCGUAAAGAGCGCGCAGGCGGUCGUUCAAGUCGAGUGUGAAAGCCCCCGGCUCAACUGGGGAGGGUCACUCGAUACUGAUCGACUUGAAGGCGGGAGAGGGAAGCGGAAUUCCCGGUGUAGUGGUGAAAUGCGUAGAUAUCAGGAGGAACACCGGUGGCGAAGGCGCACAUCUGGCCCGAUACUGACGCUGAGGCGCGAAAGCUAGGGGAGCAAACGGG